GUAGGUACUAGUGGAAUAGUCGUGAAGAAAGAAAUAGUUGCCAGUCCUGUUCCCGGACACUUCAGGGAGUAAAGUGAGUAUGUGUUUUGUCCAUCACCUAGUAGAGCUGGGUGAGUUACCCCAGUACAACUGGGGUGCUAGUGUUCUGGCGUACCUGUAUAGGAGCAUGUGCCGGGUGAGCAUAGGUCCAUCGGUUGAUAUAUGUGGUUUUCUGCCCCACCUACAGGUGACAAAACUUCUGAAUACUUUGUUCUUUACUCCAAAUUCUAUAUCGUGAAAUGACUCAUAAAUUUUACAUCAACAUUUUAUCUUAGGUUUGGGCCUGGCAGCGGAUCAUGCCGUUGCAGCCACCUCUACCAGCACUUCCGUCCGGUCAGCAUUACUUGUUUCUCCCAAGUGAGUAUGUGUUUUGUCCAUCACCUAGUAGAGCUGGGUGAGUUACCCCAGUACAACUGGGGUGCUAGUGUUCUGGCGUACCUGUAUAGGAGCAUGUGCCGGGUGAGCAUAGGUCCAUCGGUUGAUAUAUGUGGUUUUCUGCCCCACCUACAGGUGACAAAACUUCUGAAUACUUUGUUCUUUACUCCAAAUUCUAUAUCGUGAAAUGACUCAUAAAUUUUACAUCAACAUUUUA
This 631-nucleotide long non-coding RNA is filed under the name Nicotiana benthamiana. Its description in RNAcentral is "long non-coding RNA (NBEN_LNC040701)". Lineage: Eukaryota; Viridiplantae; Streptophyta; Magnoliopsida; Solanales; Solanaceae. The record is from RNAcentral.